Molecule: long non-coding RNA, 1312 nt
Filed under: Anser cygnoides (Swan goose)
Lineage: Eukaryota; Metazoa; Chordata; Aves; Anseriformes; Anatidae
Description: lncRNA (ENSACDG00005004413.1)
Source: RNAcentral
AUGGCGGCCACUUUUCUUACUCCAGCUUCUGGCGCUAGCUGUGAUCCUGGAAGAGCCGCAGGCAGUGACACGGCACCCAGCAGCCCUCCUACCCCUGGAGCUGGGGACUGCUGGGGGUGCAGGGAGCUGGGGAGGGGCUGGGGGCUGCAGCAUCCCAGUGAGCCCCCUCCUGCCCUUCCUGGAGCCACAGCUCUGCCAGGAGCUGUUCAACUACACCCUGGAGCUGCUGCUGUGGAGGGGAGAUGUCGUCCGGGUCCCCUGCAAGCGCCUGAUGAGCCCCCACGCUCCCACGGCAGCCUGAGCCAGCGAGGGACCGGCCUGGCCACCAGCAGGAGCACACGGGUGAGAACUGGGCAGGGGAUGCGACGGGGAGGAGAGGGACGGGGACGGGGACGGAGAUGGGGAAGGGGACAGGGACAGGGACGGGCAGGUCCCCUUGCCCAGGGCAGGACCCUCAUGCUGGGGCAGGUCCCCGUGCCCGGGCAGCGCGGUGCUGGGGCUCCCGGCAGGAAACGCUUCCUGCCCCGGCCGUGCACCGCUCCCCGUGCCGGCCCCGGCCCCGCCGCUCACCCCCUGCUCUCCCCAGCGAGGAUGGAGCCGGCCAAGCCGCCCCCCAGCAAGAGGAUGGCUCCCGCGCCCCCCGUCCCUGCCAAAACCAAGCCGGCCCUGGGGCUGCCGAGCAAGCCCAGCAGCCCCCAGCCCGGCACCUCGGCCGAAAUGGAGCGGGGCAGAGCCGGAGACCCAGACACCGAUGGCUUCAGUGCCCUGCAGGUGACCACGGCCAAGCUGAGCCACCCCACGGCCACGCGCCCCCGGGUGCCGGGCCGGCGGCUGCCCAGUAUGGCCGGGGUGGGCUUGGGGCCGCCCUGCGCCGAGCUCUGCCCCCAUCUCCCCGCCGCGGGGCAGGGCCCGGAGCAGCGGCUGGCCCUGGAGGACCUGAAGGCCGAGGUCCGGUCCCUGCACAUCCUCGUGGACCUGAUGCGAGGCCAGCACCUGAGGGACCUGGAGGACGUGAGGCUGGAGCUGCAGCACGAGCGGACCAAGCGCGAGGCGCUGCAGGCGGAGAUUGAGCGGGUGAGGAAGGCGCUGCCCUGCUAGCGGGGGGGGCUGCGGGGGGUGCGCAGGGACCCCCAAAGCAUCCCCAGCCCCAGGAGCACCCCCAGCCCUGGCCUGGGGCUGUGCCGAUCCGGACACGAGGGACCCCUGCACCUGGGCACCGCCUGCUGCGCCUCUGAGGCCAUGAAGCAGACCCUGCUUUGUCACAAAUACUGGUUAAAAUAAACUAUUUUGGGUACGGAGUGCUGCUGGGGUC